Molecule: ribosomal RNA, 152 nt
Filed under: Nerodia fasciata
Lineage: Eukaryota; Metazoa; Chordata; Lepidosauria; Squamata; Natricidae
Description: partial 16S ribosomal RNA
Source: RNAcentral
UCGGUUUCUAUCUAUGAUAAACUUAUACCCAGUACGAAAGGACCGGCAUAAGAAAGCCAAUGCUAUAAGCACGCCUUUAAUAACAAUCACCAACCAAAUUUAACCACCUCCUUUCUAAACCAAGACAAGGUUAAUUAAGGACACAGCCCUUA